AGUGAACGCUGGCGGUAGGCCUAACACAUGCAAGUCGAACGGCAGCACAGUAAGAGCUUGCUCUUACGGGUGGCGAGUGGCGGACGGGUGAGGAAUACAUCGGAAUCUACUUUUUCGUGGGGGAUAACGUAGGGAAACUUACGCUAAUACCGCAUACGACCUACGGGUGAAAGCAGGGGAUCUUCGGACCUUGCGCGAUUGAAUGAGCCGAUGUCGGAUUAGCUAGUUGGCGGGGUAAAGGCCCACCAAGGCGACGAUCCGUAGCUGGUCUGAGAGGAUGAUCAGCCACACUGGAACUGAGACACGGUCCAGACUCCUACGGGAGACAGCAGUGGGGAAUAUUGGACAAUGGGCGCAAGCCUGAUCCAGCCAUACCGCGUGGGUGAAGAAGGCCUUCGGGUUGUAAAGCACUUUUGUUGGGAAAGAAAAGCAGCAGGUUAAUACCCCGCUGUUCUGACGGUACCCAAAGAAUAAGCACCGGCUAACUUCGUG
Molecule: ribosomal RNA, 492 nt
Filed under: uncultured bacterium
Lineage: Bacteria
Description: partial 16S ribosomal RNA
Rfam family: Bacterial small subunit ribosomal RNA
Source: RNAcentral